This is a long non-coding RNA of Tachysurus fulvidraco (yellow catfish), 320 nucleotides long. RefSeq lists it as uncharacterized. Lineage: Eukaryota; Metazoa; Chordata; Actinopteri; Siluriformes; Bagridae. The transcript has 3 exons. The record is from RefSeq and is a predicted model, not a curated record.
UGGUGGUGGGGGUGGGAUAAUUGGAUUAUUGUGGUUUUGUCCAUACAACCACUGAAUAUGAGCAUCACUCCGAAUCCCAGUUAUCCCAGUAUGGAGAGUUAUAGUGGUUCCUUCCACUUCCUGCAGUGUGACCGUCUCGUCUCCAGCUUCACACACUCCAGUGUGUUGUGUUUGCAGUAAAGGAGUAAACUUACAGCACAAUAGGAGGAGAACAGACCGGAGAAUCCACUUUCCUGCUAAAAUGGUCACCAUGUUUUUAGUCCACAGUAAGCGUUUCUCAGACAAAACAUUUUCCCGUCGUCCUGCACAUCAGAGUCAGA